This 347-nucleotide unclassified non-coding RNA is filed under the name soil metagenome. RNAcentral describes it as "partial contains 5.8S ribosomal RNA, internal transcribed spacer 2, and large subunit ribosomal RNA". The stretch from base 1 to 120 matches the Rfam family "5.8S ribosomal RNA", at positions 35 to 154 of the family's 154-position model. The record is from RNAcentral.
GAUGAAGAACGUAGCGAAAUGCGAUAAGUAAUGUGAAUUGCAGAAUUCAGUGAAUCAUCGAGUCUUUGAACGCACAUUGCGCCCCCUGGUAUUCCGGGGGGCAUGCCUGUCCGAGCGUCAUUGCUGCCCUCAAGCACGGCUUGUGUGUUGGGCCCCCGCCCCCCGGCUUCGGGGGGCGGGCCCGAAAGGCAGCGGCGGCACCGCGUCCGGUCCUCGAGCGUAUGGGGCUUCGUCACCCGCUCUGUAGGCCCGGCCGGCGCCCGCCGGCGACCCCAAUCAAUCUUUCCAGGUUGACCUCGGAUCAGGUAGGGAUACCCGCUGAACUUAAGCAUAUCAAUAAGCGAGGA